Molecule: unclassified non-coding RNA, 289 nt
Filed under: plant metagenome
Description: partial contains small subunit ribosomal RNA, internal transcribed spacer 1, and 5.8S ribosomal RNA
Rfam family: 5.8S ribosomal RNA (bases 241-289)
Source: RNAcentral
UUUCCGUAGGUGAACCUGCGGAAGGAUCAUUAAUGAGUUGUCAUGGGGUUCGAUGCUGGCAGCCAAUUUUUGGAUGCAUGUGCUUGCCCUAACAAUCAUCUUCCAAACACCUGUGCACAUUUUUGAGGGAGUCUUGAGUUGGUUGCCGCUCUUGGGUGAUUUUCUCACAUUCCCUUAAAUCAUUAUACGCUAUUAACAAUGUUGAACGUGCUCUGUGCCGCAAGGCUAUUAAUAUAAUACAACUUUUAACAACGGAUCUCUUGGCUCUCGCAUCGAUGAAGAACGUAGC